RNAcentral lists this ribosomal RNA (484 nucleotides) under uncultured bacterium. Its description in RNAcentral is "partial 16S ribosomal RNA". It matches the Rfam family "Bacterial small subunit ribosomal RNA", at positions 30 to 507 of the family's 1533-position model. The record is from RNAcentral.
AUUGAACGCUGGCGGCAGGCCUAACACAUGCAAGUCGAGCGGAUGAAGGGAGCUUGCUCCUGGAUUCAGCGGCGGACGGGUGAGUAAUGCCUAGGAAUCUGCCUGGUAGUGGGGGAUAACGUCCGGAAACGGGCGCUAAUACCGCAUACGUCCUGAGGGAGAAAGUGGGGGAUCUUCGGACCUCACGCUAUCAGAUGAGCCUAGGUCGGAUUAGCUAGUUGGUGGGGUAAAGGCCUACCAAGGCAACGAUCCGUAACUGGUCUGAGAGGAUGAUCAGUCACACUGGAACUGAGACACGGUCCAGACUCCUACGGGAGGCAGCAGUGGGGAAUAUUGGACAAUGGGCGAAAGCCUGAUCCAGCCAUGCCGCGUGUGUGAAGAAGGUCUUCGGAUUGUAAAGCACUUUAAGUUGGGAGGAAGGGCAGUAAAUUAAUACCUUGCUGUUUUGACGUUACCAACAGAAAAAGCACCGGCUAACUUCGUG